Long non-coding RNA from Stomoxys calcitrans (stable fly), 1306 nucleotides. RefSeq lists it as uncharacterized. The transcript is spliced from 3 exons. The record is from RefSeq and is a predicted model, not a curated record. Lineage: Eukaryota; Metazoa; Arthropoda; Insecta; Diptera; Muscidae.
CCACACGGUGCCAUUUUAUCGCCACCCCUAUGGGUGACCACCAUAAAUGAGCUUUUACGGAUGCUGACUGAGGUGUGAUCUUGGACGGGAAACUGAAUUGGAAGUGUCACAUUCAGGAGCGUACUGAGAAGGCUGACAGAUGUUGGGCACUAUGUAGACGGGCCGUAGGCUCGAAAUGGGGCCUGAAUCCUACGAUAGUCCACUGGCUCUACAGGAGCGUGAUUAGACCAAUACUUAUUUACGCCUCAGUAGUUUGGUGGGCUGCUGUGGAGAAAAAGUGCAACAUAAGGAGCAUACAACAGGUUCAGAGAACAUGUUGUUUUGGCAUAGGCGGAGCGAUGAGGACCACGCCCACUAGGGCACUGGAGACUAUUCUAGAUAUCCGACCCAUUGACCUAAAGAUUAAGUGUGAGGCAGUCACUACGGCUAUGAGAUUUAAGGCGAUGGGAAAAUGGAUUGAGGAUGGGAGCAGCUCAUACCAUCGCGGUAUAAUCGAGGCGACGAUAGGAAACCAGGAAGGAAGGGGAGAGGUUUCCGAUCGGAUACCUGAGACGAACCUUGAAGUCGAGUACAACGCACUGCUGGCAUCGGCACAGUCUUGGAUUGACGGAACCCUAGUAUUGCCAUCCGGAAGAUCAUGUUACACGGAUGGAUCAAAGCUAGAGGACAGAGUGGGCCUGGGGGUUUACAUUGAAAACCCAGGAACUGUACUGUAAAUCGGUGCGGCAUGUGAUAGCAUGUGUAGGGAAUGCGGGGAAGAUGAUGAGUGUUGGUGCAUUUCCUUUGUCAUUGUCCGGCUUUCGCGUCCAUCAGAUACCGGUACUUAGGUGGAGACACAAUAUCAGACAUGAACCAACUAAGGAGAAUGGCAUUGAAAACAAUUAAGAAUUUUGUGUUCGGUUCGGGCACACUGCACUCCAUGCCAUCCAUUCAGUGGUUAUUAUUUUACCUUGAUAUUGACAAAUCACCAUACUCGAAUGACUGAUUUACUGUCAACCUUACAUUUUCCGCUUUGCCAGAACGGAAGUUCCGCGCUGUUGGGUGGAAGUAUUUGCAAAAUACUGUGACAAAUUGUAAUUAUUUCGCUGUGCGUUUCUGCUUUUCCUCCUUCUUCGUCCCCUUCAUCGGCUCUGACAGUGUUCGGAUUGUGAAAGUGGAAAUUUGGAAUGUAGGGCUAAAGCAUCAACAUGCCACCGAUGACAAUAUGUUAUCGUCAAACACACCAUCAUAGUCAGCGGCGCGCAACUGCUGAACUGAGUUUUGUUUAUUUGAUAACUUCAUUAAGAUAAUUUACAAACUUCAUUAA